RNAcentral lists this unclassified non-coding RNA (911 nucleotides) under Hevea brasiliensis (rubber tree). Lineage: Eukaryota; Viridiplantae; Streptophyta; Magnoliopsida; Malpighiales; Euphorbiaceae. The record is from RNAcentral.
AGAAUAUUGAACCACGCGCUUCACUUUCUUCAAUUCAUCUCUAUUUGCACCACGGAGUAAUAUGGUGCAUCCCAGUGGCUUUGGACAGCCUUCAAAGUACAUCAGUGUUUUCACAAGCUUCUUUCCAAUCUCUCCAGCUGUAUCAUGUUCUUCCAAAAACUUCUGAACAUGAAACAUGUCACAGUAUCCCAUCUUUUGAGAUGAGAGAUGAUCUACUGAAUGAACUAUUUGACCACCAGUGCAGCGAGCUAUACGCUCCAAGACUGGUUUUUUGAUGUUUAAGACAAGUGAUAUAUCUUUUUCCAAGAGGUACUCCUGUGCAUAGCGAGAAACAGAUUUUUCCACCAGAAGAACAUCCGGAUUGUGUGCAUCAAUUCUGGCAACAGCCAUCUUCAGAUGAUCCAUUUCCUGCUGCAACAAUGUAGCGAAACUUGAUAAGUGGUUAGAGACGCGCUGGUACUCGAGAGCACCUUCAAGGAUUACUAUGCGGGCUUUCUCAACUUUUGAUGUCAUUCGCCGAUGAGCUACAUUUUUCUUGCAGACAACUCCUUUCACCACAGCACUGUCACUACGAUGUCCAGAUGCAAUACACUUCACCUUUACAUAUCCCCCAGGGUCCAUUCCCCCACCUUUGCUAGUGUCUGGUUUCAAAAGUGUUGCAGCUUCCCACGAUAGGGAUGUAACUAUCUCCAACCAACUCUCUUUGUCUUCUUCCUCACCAAUGACAAGUUUUUCAACCUGCAUAAGCUGAGACACUAAAGCCCUGAAGUGGCCAUCAACAACAUUCUUGACUACGUUCUUUUGCUCUUCAUUUGACCUGUCCCUACCUCUAUACUCACCACUUCCAAAACUGCUUGACGCAUGUAAAUAUCCCCAUUCUCCUGCAGCAUCUCCAUCAUCAUCAUCAUCAU